GAUGAACGCUGGCGGCGUGCCUAAUACAUGCAAGUCGAGCGAACAGAUGAGGAGCUUGCUCCUCUGACGUUAGCGGCGGACGGGUGAGUAACACGUGGAUAACCUACCUAUAAGACUGGGAUAACUUCGGGAAACCGGGGCUAAUACCGGAUAAUAUAUUGAACCGCAUGGUUCAAUAGUGAAAGGCGGUUUUGCUGUCACUUAUAGAUGGAUCCGCGCCGCAUUAGCUAGUUGGUAAGGUAACGGCUUACCAAGGCAACGAUGCGUAGCCGACCUGAGAGGGUGAUCGGCCACACUGGAACUGAGACACGGUCCAGACUCCUACGGGAGGCAGCAGUAGGGAAUCUUCCGCAAUGGGCGAAAGCCUGACGGAGCAACGCCGCGUGAGUGAUGAAGGUCUUCGGAUCGUAAAACUCUGUUAUUAGGGAAGAACAAAUGUGUAAGUAACUAUGCACGUCUUGACGGUACCUAAUCAGAAAGCCACGGCUAACUACGUG
This 497-nucleotide ribosomal RNA is filed under the name uncultured bacterium. Its description in RNAcentral is "partial 16S ribosomal RNA". It matches the Rfam family "Bacterial small subunit ribosomal RNA", at positions 28 to 507 of the family's 1533-position model. The record is from RNAcentral.